CAAAAAGUAGUUUAUAAAUAUAAGAAUUUUAAUUUUGGGAAUUAAAGGACCUUAUUUACGGCUUUUUGA
RNAcentral lists this transfer RNA (69 nucleotides) under Pediculus schaeffi. RNAcentral's name for it is "tRNA-Pro". Lineage: Eukaryota; Metazoa; Arthropoda; Insecta; Psocodea; Pediculidae. The record is from RNAcentral.